UGCUAAUAGAUUAUCAUUAUUAGUAAAUUCUGCUCAAUGAUUUAAAUAGCCGCAGACUCUGUGCUAAGGUAGCAUAAUCAUUUGUCUUUUAAUUUAAGACUAGAAUGAAUGAAUUUACAUUUAAAUUUCUUUUUUUUAAGUAAUAUUUUAAAUUAUCUUAAAUAUUAAAAGAUAUUUAUUAAUUAGAAAGACGACAAGACCCUAUCGAACUUCACUUUAGUUAAAUUGGGGAAAUUAAUUAAUUAAUAUUUUAAUUUUAAUAUUUAAAUAAAUACCCAAUAUAAUUGAAAAUUAAUCAAGUUACCAUAGGGAUAACAGCGUAAUAUAUUUUUUAAGAUCUUAUUUUAAAAUUCAUUUACGACCUCGAUGUUGAAUAAUAACCUAAAUAAUGCAAUAAAUAUUAAAGGAAGUCUGUUCGACUUAUAAAUAAUUACA
RNAcentral lists this ribosomal RNA (435 nucleotides) under Vidole capensis. RNAcentral's name for it is "partial 16S ribosomal RNA". Lineage: Eukaryota; Metazoa; Arthropoda; Arachnida; Araneae; Phyxelididae. The record is from RNAcentral.